This 431-nucleotide ribosomal RNA is filed under the name uncultured bacterium. Its description in RNAcentral is "bacterial SSU rRNA". It matches the Rfam family "Bacterial small subunit ribosomal RNA", at positions 28 to 479 of the family's 1533-position model. The record is from RNAcentral.
AAUGAACGCUGGCGGCGCGCCUAACACAUGCAAGUCGAACGGCACCUGCCUUCGGGCAGAAGCGAGUGGCGAACGGCUGAGUAACACGUGGAGAACCUGCCCCCUCCCCCGGGAUAGCCGCCCGAAAGGACGGGUAAUACCGGAUACCCCGGGGUGCCGCAUGGCACCCCGGCUAAAGCCCCGACGGGAGGGGAUGGCUCCGCGGCCCAUCAGGUAGACGGCGGGGUGACGGCCCACCGUGCCGACAACGGGUAGCCGGGUUGAGAGACCGACCGGCCAGAUUGGGACUGAGACACGGCCCAGACUCCUACGGGAGGCAGCAGUGGGGAAUCUUGCGCAAUGGGGGGAACCCUGACGCAGCGACGCCGCGUGCGGGACGGAGGCCUUCGGGUCGUAAACCGCUUUCAGCAGGGAAGAGUCAAGACUGUACC